This 306-nucleotide unclassified non-coding RNA is filed under the name Hevea brasiliensis (rubber tree). The record is from RNAcentral. Lineage: Eukaryota; Viridiplantae; Streptophyta; Magnoliopsida; Malpighiales; Euphorbiaceae.
CUCAAAGACCACAAAAUUCAGAUGAGGCCUACUUACCACCCAGAAAGGCUCUUUGACGAGAACAAGGUGACUAAAGAAUCAAAAGAAAGAACAAAUCCAAUCUCUCAGUUGUGGCACGUGAAUGGUAAAUGCCCCGAGGGUACCAUACCCAUUAGAAGAACAAAGAAAGAUGAUGUUUUGAGAGCAAGCUCAGUGAAAAGGUAUGGCAAGAAGAAGCGCAGAAGCAUCCCCAAGCCAAGGUCUGCAGAUCCUGAUCUCACUAAUGAAAGUGGCCACCAGCAUGCAAUAGCUUAUGUAGAAGGGGAC